RNAcentral lists this ribosomal RNA (283 nucleotides) under Aeromonas hydrophila. RNAcentral's name for it is "partial 16S ribosomal RNA". It matches the Rfam family "Bacterial small subunit ribosomal RNA", at positions 1 to 278 of the family's 1533-position model. Lineage: Bacteria; Pseudomonadati; Pseudomonadota; Gammaproteobacteria; Aeromonadales; Aeromonadaceae. The record is from RNAcentral.
AAAUUGAAGAGUUUGAUCAUGGCUCAGAUUGAACGCUGGCGGCAGGCCUAACACAUGCAAGUCGAGCGGCAGCGGGAAAGUAGCUUGCUACUUUUGCCGGCGAGCGGCGGACGGGUGAGUAAUGCCUGGGAAAUUGCCCAGUCGAGGGGGAUAACAGUUGGAAACGACUGCUAAUACCGCAUACGCCCUACGGGGGAAAGCAGGGGACCUUCGGGCCUUGCGCGAUUGGAUAUGCCCAGGUGGGAUUAGCUAGUUGGUGAGGUAAUGGCUCACCAAGGCGACG